Molecule: small RNA, 306 nt
Filed under: Salmonella enterica subsp. enterica serovar Typhi
Lineage: Bacteria; Pseudomonadati; Pseudomonadota; Gammaproteobacteria; Enterobacterales; Enterobacteriaceae
Description: StyR-15
Source: RNAcentral
AUAAGGAUAAAAUGAGUGCUACUGGCAACGAUUUUAUCCCCGAACCUUCAGGUUUCCCCAGACGGCGACGUAACGGUGUUUCUUCUGGCGGCUUGAAGUAUGACGGGGAUAAACGUAAUGUUUAUCCACUAGCAGUUGCUUAACGAAUCCGAAUCUCACAUUAUCAGGGGUGUAAAAAUGGAAACAACCAAGCCUUCUUUCCAGGACGUGCUGGAGUUUGUUCGUCUGUUCCGUCGCAAAAAUAAACUGCAGCGUGAAAUUCAGGACAUUGAGAAGAAGAUCCGUGACAACCAGAAGCGUGUGCUG